GAAAGACUUUCUAACAGGAAUAUCUUGAAAACGACAAUCUUUUUCGAUCUCUAUAAAUGGUCAUCCAACUUUGUCUUUUUCAGACGCCAUUUCCUUUAAUGCUGGCUUCCAUAAACUCAUAUGAUCAAAGAUGUCUUCUGUGAUGUGCCACUUUUAUGCAAUCGCCAAAGAAAUUCAUUCUUCCUUCUUUAAUUCUAUUGCAAGUUGUGAAAGCAAUAUAAUACCACUUCCACCUUUGCAGCAAGGACACACUUAAUGGCCUAAAUAGAAUAAUUUUAAACCCAAAUAGAAUAAUUUUAAACCCAACAAGUAACGAUUUUAUAUUAGUUAAACUACUAUAAUAAAUAAACAAAUAGUACCUCAGUGGCAUAGAUAAUUCCCUGAAUGGCCUUUCUUGGAUAAUUUCCAAAGAACUCAUAAUGCCAAGAGUCAGUUUUGGUUAUUGAUGAGGG
RNAcentral lists this long non-coding RNA (452 nucleotides) under Eutrema salsugineum. RNAcentral's name for it is "long non-coding RNA (ESAL_LNC001920)". Lineage: Eukaryota; Viridiplantae; Streptophyta; Magnoliopsida; Brassicales; Brassicaceae. The record is from RNAcentral.